CCCAUAAAGCUGCGGUCAUUUUGACCCUCAGUAGUAACAUCUUGGGGGUCCUGGCUCACAUGAUCCAAGCAUGCCUUUAGAAGCAAAAUGGAGUACACUGAAGGAAACCUAUCUGAAGCCAUCCAAAUGCUAUAGUUCAAGCGGGCUUAUUGCAAGGGGACAAUCAACGAUGCAUCUCAUACGGAACAGCUGCCUGAUUGUUUUGAGCCAAACUGAACAUUGUUGUGUAUUUUAAUAAGUGCACGUUUUAUAUGUAUUGCCAUGCAUGUUCAUUUUCACAUACGGCUCUUAAUUAAGCUUUAUACAAUUAUACAACUCGAGACAUACAUUGUCAUUGUAAAUCUACAAAAAGUGAUGAUUGAUGAAUGACAAUUCAGUGAUUAAAUGAUCGCUUGGCCUGUGAUCCAACACACUAACAAUUACAGUUCAACGUUUGAUAUAAAAGUAGAAUGGGUGCAUUACGUAUUUGAGUGAGGGGUCGUGCGCAUUAAAUGACGGCCUCAGGCAAUUUUUCCCCUCAGUAUUUAUUAUUUAUGUUAUUUAUUUCUUGGGCUUUAUUCCCCCCUUAAAAAAUUGACAUUGCGGAUCUGCAAUUGCAAAUCGCCUCCUUUUGAAACUAAUAAAUAAUUAUUGUAUAUAAUUGGUCUCCUUUGAUAAGUUCGACUGUCUCAAAUACAGUUUAGCUGAUCGAUACUGUUCACCGUCUUUGGAACUUGACUGUUGUUUUGUAAGGAGAGUUGCCUUAGCUGUUUCAUAAUUAGCUGCGGUUAGAUUACUGCUUGUGGUCUGCUUUAGCUGUCCAAAAAUUGUCUCUGUAGCGCUGCCAUUUACUCUUCUGGGGUUGAUAUAGUAGCCAGGGUUAGAGGUAGUGAAGUCAUUAACUAGGCCAUACCACAUGAUACGCAUCAAAUCCCAGGUCUGUGUGUGUGUGUGUUUGUAUGUAUACAUGUAUCCAUAAUUACAGCCAUUUACCUGCCAUGCCAAAAAUGUUCGUUUAUCUUCAUCUUUUUCGCUCUCUUUUGCCCACUGUGUGAAGAAUUCGAAUCCUUCCGUCAUUCUGCAUAUUGUAGUUCCAUCUUUCUCAAAAACUCUCACUUUUGUACCUAAGAUAGAUAUAUUCAAUAAUCAUUUCCACACUGGGAGCAUCUUUCGGUUUAGGAUCACUACGAGCAUAUUCUCUUAAUUCGGCUAGCACUUCAUCUUGGUGUUAAAAGUAUAUUAAAAUUGCAAAGUGGUGCAUGACCUGUACACUAAUAAUUACCUGCAUAACCUUGGACGGUAAUACGUUUAGUCGGGUCCAUGAGUCUCGAAUUAUGUAGCUCUUUUUGAGUUUGGGCACUCUUGAGCACUGGCUAGCUUGGAUACGAGAUACUUCUCUUGAGUACAUAUCUUCAAUGAUCGACCAACCAAAGGUGACAUUACCGACUUUGAAUGCUCUUGUACCCCCACGUUUUGCGGGUCUUGAUUGAAAGAGAGUUGAAAUCAUAUUUUUCAGCUGUGUGAGCGCGUGAGUACACACGUUCGUUACUACAAACCUGGUGGCUGGGGCAAAUGACGAAGUGCACAAGUUUUCCAGUAUACGGAGAGAGGAAUGAUGGCUUGAUACUAUCGGCAUCAGCCACACGACUAUAAAAUUUAGUAACUUAAGCUGACAGCUUUUACGAACCUGUAUGCCUUCCGAGGAGCACCAGUCAUUUCUUUUAUCGUUGUCAUGUUGGCAGGGUUAGGGUUGGACCACAACAUGUACUCAUAAUCGUAGUUUGGUAGAGAUUGGAGGUAAUUUCAGUCAACAAUUUCAGUGUGAUCACUCCAAUAAGCAACGUCAAGAGCAGUCUGGCCAUCAUCAUCAGUUGCCUCUGAACAAAGGUAUAUACAUUAUAACACGGUAUGAUCAAUGAUGAUGGUUCUCUCGUUACCACUGUCACUCUGUAAAAAACAUACGCCAUAUGGAGUGAUAUACUAACUGUAUUGUCUUCGACAUCAACACCUGAGCUGCUAUAAGCCAAUCCACUGUCAUCCUUGGUACUGGUGGAAACAUCUUCAGAAACACUCUGCAAGAAUAAACAAACAAUAAAUAGACUUAAAAUGCACACCACCAGUGUAAGAGGUAUACUUUGUUGACCAUCACGUUCUUGGUUUAUAUCAUGUUUCAAACUUGGAUCUACCACUAAAAUACUUUCUGCCACAAAUCAUUGAUUAACUGUUUAAUAUUAUUAUUGUUGUCACAUAAUAAAACGAGUGAAAUAUGAAUACACCACAGUCAUGUAGCUUUUAAUACUAUCCCUUGUGCGGUUACGUAAUUGGGUACAUGCAUGGUCUAUAUCAUUAAUUAAUUUUGGUGGGAAUCACACACCUAGAAGUGUUUACACCAGACAUGGAGUGGGAGUAUCCCACCAUUUGAUGCAAGUGUGACGUUACACCCAUGGUGUGACUGAACAUUGGUGGGACUUUCCCACCUCCGUUUUUACAGUGUAGUGCUAGGGCAUCUUGGAAGGCCGACUUGUGUAGUGUGAAUCCAUGUUCCGAUAGUGGGAGAACCGUGAGCCAAGUGGAGGCUCCUUUUGUCUUGGAUAGCUCCACUGCCUUCUGGAGCCCGUCCGGUAGCUGUUGAUGUAUAGAGGCUGCUUCUUCUUCUUGUAUGUUCCUGUUGUCCUUACUGACCUCUCUUUUCUUCAGUUGCCCUUUUCUGCAUAAUACUUGUACUGUUUUUUUUUAUUGAAGGGAUUCACGUGCUCACAUGUACAUUCGGGACAUUCGGGACACUUGACAGAGCUUUUCUCACAGUUAGCACAUAUUGUCUGGACACAUCCAUUUCUCCUUCUAGAUCAGGGGGUGGUUGGGGCAGGCACCGUGUCCUUACUUUGAUGACAUCUUCAUCUUUAUGAAUGAGUAUCGCAUCCAGAUAUACUCCAUUCAUCCAUUUUUAUAAAAAUAAUGAUAAUAAUUAUUAUUUUGUUUUAAAGAAGCCUUUUUUGCAGUGUAUGCCUUGUUGCACUAUAUACAUUGUUAAAAUGGUGUGUUAAAUAGUGCACUACUUUUCACUGGUAAUUUUUAGUGUGUUUUAAUGUGCACAACUGUGCAUAUCUGUGUUCACUGACACUCAAUGUGUGUGUAAACCAUAAACCCACAACAAACGUAUAUACACGCAUGAUUUUUUUGUUUGCGUUUGACUGCUUCAAGAACAUUUGUCUCUUCAUUUUUAUUUUAAACUUAUGAUUAGUUACAUUCAUCAGAGUAUGAGUGAAGAAGAGUCCAGUUAUUCCUAUCUCUCACAUCUGUUAAACUGUUUUAUCGUAUGAGGGCUUCGACACAAAAAUGACAAUGCCUACAUUGGGAAAAACAGUGUGAAAACUGCUAAUGCUCACACUUGAUGGGGUGGAGGGACCAGGCGACGACCAUUCAAAACCACUGCCUUGUAUUCAUAAUAGUUCUCAGAGAACGAAGGACCUGCACAGGUGUAUAAUACACAGUGUCAUACAGACCAUCACUGUCAAUUUAAUAAACAUGUCGAGUGUGAGAAUAUCACCUACCGCAGAAGUGGCGAGUGAGCACAUGUAAAACAGGUACUCCUGUUUUCCUUUUGAGCUUUUGAGCUUUGGCGCUGGCCAUCUAAAAUUCUUGUGUUGUAAAAUAAAUUUUUCCUUUCAAAAUGUCAUACUAUAAUUACUAUACUGUCGUCAUAAGACCGUGGUAUGCCACUUGCCAUACUAUAAUCUCAAAUGAGCAUCCACAACGAACCAUUAUUUUUCAUAGCUACGUCUAGCAUUGUCGCAUCUUGGAAUCUUUUCUCUCUGUACACUGUACUUACUUGAGCGCACAGCUGCUCCAUUAAUUCCUGGAUUGGGGCCGUUACCUCACGGUAGCAUAUUGCUGCCUCUUGGCAUCUCUUAUCUCUAUACAGGAGUGACACUCCUCUCAGUAUAGAUACUAUAUUAUAAUCAUAGUGUGACUAGCUGGUCCAGCCAGAUACUGCGCACUUACUAUAGAUAUACUCCAUUCAUCCUUGUUGUCUUUUCUCUGGCCAUAUAUACACAUUUUAUAAUGCAUCCAUUUCUCCUUCUAAUUAUCGAUUAUAAUAGAUCAGAAAAGCAGAUUGGGGGUGGUUGGGGCAGGCACUGUGUCCCAACAGGGACCUUACUUUGAUGACAUCUUCAUCUUUAAGAAACAAAGGACCUACAUAUUCGCUGGCCUUCUAAAAUUCUUGUAAUAAGAAAAAUGUCCCUCAGUUGCCAGGCAAUGAACUUCACAUUUAGAGGAUUGGAACGAUGGCUGCCUGCAGAAAUAAAAUGGGGCAUUAGCAACCUUGAAUGUGCAUCGAUAUUAUGAUUUUUCUUUUAAAAGGAGAAGGCAUAUUACCCGGCGGCUGUGGUAUGACACUCGCCAUAAUAUUAAAAUACAAUACAGACCUCAUAUCCCCCGUCGACAGCCCUGCUCCAGUCAUCAAUCACUUGAAUGAGAGCUGACACAGUUGAACGUGACGACAUAAAGCCCCAUUGCCUUGGGGAAAUUGGUGAAUGUAAUUUCAUGUGCUCCUCCAGAAGUGCUUUCACGUGUUUUUCGAAGUGAUGGAUCACCACUCUUGGGUACGGGAACCUGAAGGGUAAUUACCUGUGCUGAUUGAUAAAUUAAACAACAUUGCAAGUGGAGAGGCACUAUUUUCUGCAGUACUUUUUAGCAUUUUAGGAGAUAUGCCCAUAGAUUUGCCAGUUUCUAGGUUAACCCUUUAACCGUUGGAUUCUUAAUUAACAGCAAAAAGUGAAAUGUCUGUUUAUUCUCUAUCGGGUUUCCAGAGCAAUAAAAUGCCUAGCAACCAUAUACCAAUAGAAUGCCCAUACAACAAGGAACAGGAACACGAGCCUGGAGCAGUGCUUCAGAAAACACGAACUAGAGAAGAAAAGAGCCUAUGAGCAAAGAGUGAGGGAGGUGGAACAUGCGUCCUUCACCCCCUUAGUGCUCUCCGCAAGUGGGGGGCUAGGAAAAGAAGCAACAGUGUUCUACAAAAGAUUGGCUUCCCUCCUAGCUGAGAAAUGGGACCAACCAUACCACCAGGUCAUAAACUGGCUAAGAUGCUCCCUAUCAUAUAGUCUGCUCAGAUCUGCUAUACAAUGUGUUCGAGGCUCCCGGUCCUCCCGUGGUCGCGCCAUCAAGACCAUCCCACAAAUGGAUUUGGUGUCGGCCGAGGCACACUUAUGCCAAAUGGACUAACAAGUAUAUUUUUCCUUUUUGUAUAAUUUUUGUUUUUGUUUUUCUUGUUGUAAUCUUUAUUAUUUUGUCUUGCCUAGAUUAGUACCCUACAUGAGUAACUUUAAUUAAAAAAAAAAAAAAAAAAAAUACAACAAGGAAUAAAAUGGUGCAACAUGUGUUGCUAUUUACGCCCACCCGUUUUUAUCAUUUUAAAUGCCCGGCCAGCAGUGAGAUAAAACCAAAAAAAAGUUUUUUAGGCCACUCCAAAUGAGACUGUAGUUUCCCGUCCAACUCGCGCUUCCUGCUUUAGCUACCGCAUUAAAUAGUCAUUAUGGCCAUUAUUUCUCUAAUUAUCCAAUGAAAUAUUGAAAUUACUUUUUUCUUGUUCUGUUUGUGGGUGUAUGUGUGUAUAGUAACAUUUUUGUGGGUGAUUAAUUAAAUUCAUUGAUGAUGCACCACAUUUAUAAUGAGAUUCAUAGUAAUGAAUAAUCCUGCUCACACCCGCAUAUAAUUUACUAGAGUCUCUGACGGGAAACUACAGUCUCAUUUGGAGUGGCCUUAUUGAUCAUGGUAUAAAGGCUUGACUAAGCUUGAUUUUCACAUCAUAUGAAUGUAACAGUGCUAAGAUAUAUCAAUUUGAAUAUUACUAACGAUGCUACUAACGAUGCUUUCCAUUACCACCCAAGAGGUACAUCGUGGGUAUCAUUUGGUUGUUUUGAUAAGGUGUACCAUCGCCUCUGGUAUACAUUGUAUAACCAUCAGCCCUAUUGUCACCAGGUAUCUCUUUAUAACUGCACAGCUAGUGUGAGUGUGAUACCAGGUAUCUCUUUAGAACUGCAAAGAGCAGUAUGGUACCUUCACUGUCAGACAUCAACAAAUUUUCAUCGUCGCCGGACAGUCCAUCAUCCGAUGACACACUUUUGUCAUCAGGAAGUUCAUCUCCGUCAUCGUUGGACAGACCCACUUCCACCAGACGGUCCACCCCCUGAUACUGUUGACAUCAGAGAGAAGGUGUGGCUCGGUGAACGAUCUAUGAAAUUUACAAGCUCACAUAAAGACUGUUCAUUACUGCUAAUUCUAUUUUAGCUAUACGUACUAUACUUUAAUACACUACUGAUAUUCUAGCUAUACUAAAUACUACUUACCAGAGUCACACAGUGCCUGGUCUUUCACCGUCCUGGUCCAUAGCGCUAGCGUCUAGGUCCAUGUCAUGCAGUCCCAGACAGUUCAUCAGCGUCUGGCAUAAAGCUGGUAGCCUUUGGGAGGUAUCCUACUAUCCCCUCUCCUUCAUAGGCACUGUCAUCACCAGAGGAGACAUCGCCAUCGCUGUCCUCAAGCUGUUCAAGCAAAGUAAACAACCUAGCCAUAGCUAUAAACUUCGUGCGGAAAGAUGCUAAUGAAAUUUUAACAUAGCAACGUGGCUUGGAAAUUUCUAGACUAAAUUGCACGGAUGUGCAUAGUUCGAGCUACUUCCUAAAUAUCGCAGAAUUAGAAUUCCGCAAAAACAAUCACUUAUUGCGGGCCACGAUCGUUUAAAGGGUUAACAAGAUAUUCAUAUACUUCCUGUUCUGUACACAGCAGAUCUUUUGGGCAAUCAGAAGGGUGUAGGUAAGUAAAUUGGUCAGCGGAGUCAUCUAUUUCUAGUGGAGGACACUGGAGAUUGAAACAAGAAUGGAAAAAAAUGUUAAGUGCAGUGGCUUUUUCAAUUGGUUUGUCAAAUGUCCUGCCAUUCUCUUUGAGUGUAGGGAUCGAACAAGUGUUACCAUUCAGGGUUUUUAUUGUUUUCCAAAACAGUUAUCAUCUUUAGUAUUCAAUCUGUCGAAGUUCUUCUUGCUUUUCCGAAUCAUAGAUACCACAAGAUUUCUUUGGUUUUUAAACCUCUUAGCAUCACCAGCUUGAUUCGAUAAUUUAGAUCUCUUAAAAAGUAUAUUUCUCUUGGUUAUCGCUCUGAUAAUUUCCUUGUUGAUCCAAGGAAUUUUUCCUUUAACCUUGAUACUUGAAAAUGGGUAUACUAACUUCCAUGAUUUGCAGGAAGGACGAGUUCCAAGCUGACACACAGGAAUCAAUGUCAUUCGAGUAGAACUCCAUUUCCCAAUUAGUCUGCUAAUGAAUAUCUCCAAACUUGUCUUCUGAUAACUCUUUCUUUGAGGGGACAGUAUUUUUUCUUUUUUCAGGGUGAAGAAUAAACCCAAGUGAUCUGAAUUGGUUAGUUUAGGUAUGGAUGUACAAUUUUCCACAUUGUUCGGCCUUGAAACCAGCACCAAAUCAAUAGUUGAUGAAUGGCCUGUGCCCGAAAAACGAGUGGGACACUUGACAAUUUGUGAUACCGAAAAAUUACACACAAGUGUGCAUACAUGUAAUGCGAAGGAUGGAAAUUAACAUUGAAGUCACCAAUAAUAAUUAAAUCGGAUAGACAAGACUGAUUUAUAGUGAGCAGUGCAUCUGAGAAAGUAUCAAUAGAAUUUUCUGAGGACGGUGGACGAUAAAAGACACCAAGACAUAACUUGAGGUGAUCUCUGAAAGGGAUAGGCAACGCCCCACAUGAUGCUAGAUAAAUGCAGUGUGUGACGUCACACCCUCUGGUUGGAGGCGAGUUGCGCUCAAGAAAGUACACAAUGAUCCCUAUAUCUGCUUAUUUUUCUCGUAGGGGGCCUAAAAGAGAAAUUCAAAGCAAUCAGGCAUCAUGCACACAUACACCCAGCACUACUGAUAGCUACAGUUGCUAUCUUAGUGGCGAGCUUUCUUUUAUUCGGCUUGAUUUGUGUGAAAAAAGACCGAUUUGUCAGUUUAUGUACCUAUAUCUCCAAUAUGAAAUAAUUUUAUAACAUGUGCGUUACACAGAAUUAAAGUGUGUUUAUAACUGCAUGGAACAAAGCAUAUUUUCCAGCUCUCAAUGCAGUGAAGUAGUAGCAGCACCAUGAAACGUUUGUCCGAAGUCCAGAAAGUUUGCGUACCUCUCCUGCUCUUACUGUACAUGGUAAUCUAGUUUGAAGUGCUCUAAGACACAGUUUAGGUAUUAGAAAGUGGAACACAAGUAUCUUUAUCUGUAUUGUGUGAUCAAAGAGAUGGCAUUUGAAGGACUUGGGAACAGACCUGUUAUGGUUUGUAGAGUGUACUGACACCCCCUUUGGAGCUCACUUUCUCAUCACUUUGCAUAUAGCAGCUCUAAAAGAUUAAUAGCCUAUGUCUAAGUGUAUCUGGUGUCUCCUCAAGAGCACAGUUUGCUAUAAUACUACAAACUCUUUACUGACAUUUUGAGUGCACACACCCCUUUUUGUUCAUUACACGCCCCUUUUUAGCAACUCGCCUCAUCCAACGAAAGUGCUGGGUGUUGCCUAUCCCUUUCUUUCGUGUAUCUAUGCUCUGAUUAAAGUGACUAGCACAAAUUCUAGACCAAGCGGCCCUAAAAGUAAAAUGUUAAAAUGAAUGCUUUUGUGAAUAAACAUGGCAACACCGCCACCAUUCCUGAUCUAAAUACAUUGUAGUUAGGAAUGUAUAACUCACUAUCUAUAAUAUCACUACACAACCAUGUUUCUACUAGACAAACAACAUCUGGGCAGUGGGUAGCACAAAUAGCCCUUAAUUCAUCUAUUUUAGGUAAUAGGCUUAGAGAAACACUUACUAGUACAUGUCAUAAGAGCAGUCCUGUUUGUAACCCUGAGAGUUUGCACCCUCCACGUUAUGUUGAUUGCCUAAGUCUGACCUAAAAAAGGUGGUUGCGAGUUGUUUUGAUCCUCAGUAGGUUCCAACGAUUGGUCUACAUUGCUACUUUGGGCCUGUGCAGUCCUGUUUGUAACCCUGAGAGUUUGUAGCCUCUACACAGGCUCUCCUUUCUGUUCUUUAUCAUCACAAUCGUUCAAUAAGAUAAAAUACUGUAUUAUUCGUUCAAUGAGAUAAAAUACGGUAUUAAUUGGAGGAAUAAAGAAAGAAAUAGACGUAGAGUUAGGAGUAUCGGGAAGUCGCGUGAGGGUAGAAGGGUGAAAAUGAGCGUGGGCAUACUGAGCUAGAGAUGUUGGACUGCCCACGCAGAGGUCUACGACGCAGCAAGCUGGACAUGGACUUGGAACUGGAAGUUUGCAAGCACUAUAGCUAGCUAUACUGUACCUUAGGCUUAGCUAGAUGAUCUACUAGAAUCUAGUCUAGAUUGUAUGUUUAGAUUCUAUCAUUAUUACCUUUUCUUGUGUCUUUCUACAUGCUAUAGUAGAAUAGCUUAGUCAUCAUUAAGCAGGUAGCUACUGCCACCAGAGCUGGCCACGCUGGUUCUCUGAUCUGACUUGCAGCACAGCUUGGUGGUUGUCUCAGUGCAAUACAGUACAGUCUUAUAAUUAUAUUCUGAAUGCGUGGGAGAAUACCUUACGUCACGAUUGUGGGCUACAUAUCGCCCACGUUCAUAAAAAUCCUUGUGGAUCACGCGAUUUCCCAAACCAGGCCUUACUUUUCUUAACUGUACGCCCAUUUCUUUCUUUGCUGCCUCACUAUGUCUUUCUUAUGUUUAUGGAUGAACAGUGACAACAGCAAGAAAAGUAAGGCCUGGGAACGAGGCUAGAGAGUUUGCACCCUCCACGUUAUGUUGAUUGCCUAAGUCUGACCUAAAAAAGGUGGUUGCGAGUUGUUUUGAUCCUCAGGAGGGUCCAGCGAUGGGUCUACAUUGUCAUCUUGAGCAUGUGUUCCAAGUGCCUUAUCUAGUGGAUCGCUAAAGCGAUACAGUGGCUCUAACUUCCACCUAGCUUGCUGAUCAAUAAGCAACCAGUUAUCCUCCAGUCUUUUUAGCUUACUUUCAUCACCACGAACAACAAACCACCACUUACUUAUUUGGGACGAUUUAAUGGUCUUGUAUUUCCUCUUCACCGAAAAAGCAACAACAUCAACAUCUGAUAUGGACUUAAUCGAAUCACAUAAUUAUCUCUGAGGUAGUUGUAGAUCUUCGAGUGCCCCAAAUUUUUCUAGAACCAACUACAAUAACUUUAGGAGUUUUAGGAGUCUUGUGCUGGUUCUGGUUCUUGCCACUUUUAACUGGGUUGGAUGGAACGCCCGCUGAAGCAUGAAGGACAUUCAAUUGACGGUUUAUUGUACAAAUCUUACGUUUAGGUGUUUUGUAGCCUCGAUCCCAGGCCGCACUUCCCACUAGGGAAGUGGGCAUGCCAACAGAGACUUCACUUUCAUGACACAUUUGUUAUGAACAGCCUGUAUUAAUUAUUAAUUAAUUAAUUCUUAUUGAGAACCCGCAAAGGAGGCUAAUCCUAGCUAGCUAUCAAGCUACUGGUAUCGACUGCUUGCGCAUGCGCUAAUAUCCCCCCGGUAUCUGGGGGCUUUGGAUAACAUCGUUUAUGCUCAGUAAAACUAUGACAUCACAACGAAAGGAAGUGGAUUGAAGGAAGUAGAUAGAAAGUUCGAUUGAAGGUUUCUAGCCCAUCGGAUAGCAUUCUCUGAUAGCUACCCUUAGCCUGCUAUGUUAACAAAAGACUCACAGCCUGCAACAGUGUGGAUGACGAUCGUCUGAAAGGAAUGGCGGCUGAUAAGAGCAUAUAUGGACAGGCCACGCCCAUUUAACACUAACUUUGGUGAAAGUCUACUAUACUACUGCUACUGAUUCUAUCAGAAGAAAAUAGCAGUACAACAAACCUACACAGCUCUGUCUCUAGCUAGCUAGCUAUAUAACUCUGUGUAUAUGACUUUUAGGAUAUUUUCUCUGAUGUAUCCAGUAUUAUAGGAAUAUUUACGGGAAAAAAUCCAAUAAUUUGGUGCAUGCGCAAGCAGUCGAUAGCAGGCCUUCUUUCAAAGGCCGGUGAAGGAGGCUAGGUGUUUUGUGGCUUGUAGUUACAUGUACAAGAUCUAUAGAUGGAUUCGCCAUUAAAGUCAAAAUAAAUAGAUGUUAGUGUGUGUGUGUGUGUGUGUGCGCGCGCGUACGUGUUCUAUACAUACAUACAAUUUAGACACAUUAAUUUUUAGUUGCAUGUGUGCUUGAUACAUACUGUAGGGUGCAUGUACACAUAUAGAUUGGGUUUCGAACACAACGUUUUUUGAUUGCGAAUUUUCACAUAAAUCGCUAUUGAACGCUAUUGAGACUAUGAAAGCUAAUUAUUAAAAGACACGCAAAAAGUGUUGAACUUCCACGUGACAAAGUAUUAGUAUGUUGAGGUGACUAUAGUGUUCUAAACCCGAUAUAAUUAUGGGUAGAUACGAAGAGCGGACUGGGAUCGAGGCUAGUAACCUACAGGCAUGGUAAUGGUCUCAGUCAAUGACUCCUAUAUGCAUGUAGAUUGAUUGAACAGUAUACAUUCAUUGAACAAGCAGCUUACGUAAACAAGUUGCAAAUUCUCCCUACACAUGUUGGAAGGAUGCCUCAGGGUAAUGCCAGAAGGGAGACCAAUCACAUGUUCAGGUUUGAGAGGCACUCUUGUUUGAGAUUGUUGAGCAAGAGCUGCAUUAAAAAUAAAAAUAUACCUGUUUGCAAACAACUCAUAUAGAACUCACAAUAUUUGGCGUUUAACCUUGGUUGUAGUGGCCAAGUACGUUUUCCUCUAAAUGGAUGAAUACAGACCUGUACAGCAAGAACGCGAUCCCCCCUACGCUUCCGAAUGGAGGGUAUAAUAAUAAUAAUCUGUGCAUGAAGUAUUUUAGUGCAGACCCCAUAAUCUUAGUUAUUGCUGGGAACAAUUUCUCAGUAAUUGAGAUGCAUGCACUCUGUGUGUAUUUUUCUAAUCGGACGAGCUGAGCUUCUGUCUGAUUAGCUCCUUCUUGUUGUCAAACUUCCCUUAGCCUUGCCAGCAGAGUCUUUGAUAUGGCGUUCCCAACCUCAUUACCCGAGGCUUAUUCGAGGUUCAUCUUCUUUCUUGAUUGCACAAUGUGGCAUUACCCGAGGCUUAAGAGCUGGUGGUUGGGGCAUGUCCCAACAGAGACUUCACUUUGAUGGCAAAUUUUUUAAGCUCUUGGCUAGAUUUUGGAUGGAGGGUAUAAUAAUAAUAAUCUGUGCAUGAAGUAUUUUAGUGCAGACCCCAUAAUCUUAGUUAUUGCUGGGAACAAUUUCUCAGUAAUUGAGAUGCAUGCACUCUGUGUGUAUUUUUCUAAUCGGACGAGCUGAGCUUCUGUCUGAUUAGCUCCUUCUUGUUGUCAAACUUCCCUUAGCCUUGCCAGCAGAGUCUUUGAUAUGGCGUUCCCAACCUCAUUACCCGAGGCUUAUUCGAGGUUCAUCUUCUUUCUUGAUUGCACAAUGUGGCAUUACCCGAGGCUUAAGAGCUGGUGGUUGGGGCAUGUCCCAACAGAGACUUCACUUUGAUGGCAAAUUUGUUAAGCUCUUGGCUAGAUUUUUCUUCCGCGUAUGCAAUCUUAAUUGUUACUUCAACAUUUACAAGGCCGUUGACCUAUAGGGACUGUACUGUAAUUAUUUUCUUAUUACUCUUUUGUCAGCUUGCCAUGUUUAUACUCGUGUGUAAACGCAUGUUUUAUCUUCGCCUGUGGAAGGUAUAAAAGCUUCUGGCAUGUUGGGAAGCUCUUUUUUGUUUGAUUCCAGACCUUGAGUGGCCACUUCCUCUUUUGUGGUCCUUCCUUUUGUAUUCUAUUUUGAGACGCAGCUCCCUUGGUAUUCGAUUACACGAUUUCAGCAUGUCCCAACAGAGACGAAGUUGGCCUUCCCCUCCAUGUCCACUUUUUUUCUUUCUUUCUGGUCUCUUUAUUAUUCGUUGCCAUGGCCUACAUAAUUAUAUUACAUACUGAGUAUAGAAACCAUUAAUUUUUUCCAUAAUCUGCACACGCAUUUCUGUGGUGUAUGACCUAUUGCUAUUGGCUAACGCUCACAAUCCCUGUUAUAACUGGCAUGCAUGCGCGCGCACUGUAAAAACAAGUGGGUUGUUUCAACCCUGACAUGCGUGUCAUUUGAUUGUCCCUCCAAAUAACAUGCUACACGUAUGUCAAAUUGCAAGCUCACAUGUAGUAUUUCCAAGACAAGGGCGUUUAAAGAGAAGAGGAGAAGAGGGCAUGCAACUCCUGUGUAUGCCUCAUAUUAUAUACUCAUUUAAUCUAUUGAGUACAGUCAAAAGCUUCUUAUAGGGCGGAAUUGAUUUUACAAUUCCGAUGAUUCACUGUUAGGACCAUUAAUGACCAUGUACAAUCGUGGCGAACACUUUGGCUGCACGUACAUCAAUUUUCAGUUCUUAGCUUAUACUGAAGCGACCCAUUGCAAACAUAACUUAAUGAACACGGUAAUAACAUCGUGAUACUUAUUAAUUGUGCAUAAUUAUACGUGCCAAAUAAAUACAUUUUGAAGUGCUUAACAACUAUGUGCUCUUCUAUAUUGCCUAGGGUUAUUUUGCAGUACAUUAUUAUUGUCUCUAUGAUAUAGUAUUACUGGUGAUAUAUUCACCAGUCCCACGAUAUGAAUGAUGCCAUUGUUAGUCCUCACUAAAGGCAUCGAUGUCGAGCUCCUCCGGAUCCUGUUCGGAUUAGAGCAGCAGCAAAUGUUGACCACGUCACGUCCGAUCUCAUUACCUUUGUGAAUGAGACUCAGAAUGAGAAUAAGAGAUGGUUUGUUUCUUCUCCCCCUCCCCACCACACAUGAUGAGUGACACACACACUUGUACACACACGUCGGCCCGUCAUCACUCCCCACGAGGCCCUCCAGAGGCACAGUGUUCAAGAGUAAAAAUAAUAAUAGUUAAAAAUAGGAUGUUGACAAUAAAACCAUAACAACACUGACUAAAUUUCCUUUUCGUCUCAGCGAGGGUUCCAAAUUCAUUGGGAGAAGACAGAUCAUUAUCCCGUGCCAGUUGAGUACGUCAACUAUUACGUCAGACUUGAUCAUCGAUCGUUAGAGAAAUUUUGCAUUGAAGAAGCCACUAUUCAUGACUUCUAUUCUAUCUGGAAUCACCAAACUCUUUCUCAGCGAGAUUGCCAAUCGGUGUUCCAAACUCUUUCUCAGCGAGAUUGCCAAUCGGUGUUGCGCCACUGUUUGCGGCAAGUUUUAAAUUGUUGGGGUUGUUUGGACAGUAGUUUCUGUGAGUUGGUAAGGAAUGGCUACUGGAUCCACACUUGCACUUUCUCUUUUCCUUUGCUCCCUUGACAAUCUCGACCUUUUCAACCAUAUCCUCAUCCUCUCCGCGUAGGUGUGGUGUUUAUGUUUAUUUGACCACAGUUUUCGUUGCUGUGCUUCGUAUGUCCUUUGUUUCUUCAACUGUAGCCGCCUCUUUUUUGCCUUUGUUGUUUUUAUUGAGUCGAGGACCUUUUUGCAACAGUGUGAAUGAAAGGCUACUAUACUGCUAUUGACUCGUAACGGCCUCGAAGGUUUACUGCCAAUAAGGUUUACUGCCAAUGGGUCUUAGUCGGUUGCACAUGCGCAUAAUUUUAAUUUUGGUUCUGUAUUAGAAAAUUGAUAAGUAAUUGACACAAGCAUCAGUGGCUAGUAUCCAGUUAAGAGAGGCAGUGGCUUCAACUCUUCAGCUUCUAGAUCGCUUUGUUCGUAUUGCGUUUUCUUUUCUCUUUAACUUUCCUUCAUACUUUUUUCUGUCUGAGGAAAUCACCAAAAUAGACCAUUGCUCGAAUGACGAGAUCCUCUUCAUUAUCUGAAACCGUUUCCGUCUCUGCUGAGGCACCUUCAAAGGUUUCACUUGUCACUGGUUGUAGAGUUGGCUCCGUUGCGACACCAUGGUAGGUUUCUUUCAGUAUAGAGAGGCAGUUUUAUCUCUUAGCUCGUUGUGCCUUAUGCUGGGGUAGCCUCCUCUUGGGCAUGAGAGAGCAUGUUGAAUAGAGAACGUCUGGCCACAGACACAGUGGGUUGGACCAUAUUGCAUAUUGCGUCACAAAAGGCCGUUUUUUAAUUACAUAACUACAUUGCUCGUGAAAAUGAACGUGGCGAUUAUUAUUAUUAUUAAGUUGCCUUUGCACGACUGAACGCAACUCUUUCAUGCUUGAUGGUUCUCUUGAGGCUGGGGUGUCACACCUACAACGUAUUACAGUAUUAGCACCACUUCAUUGUGAGCUAACAGAUAUAUAACAGGAACGCACCUGGUUUAGUUGAGACCAAGAACGAUGUGGGAAUGUUAGGAUUGGUCUCCGAGAAUUUACAACCACCCUGAGUGCCUCCAACAUAGUGGUUUUUGUCAUUGCACACGAUGAACGUCACGUGUACUCCAAACUUCUCAGCCCAGUCACAGUCACACUGAAAAACAAAAACAAAAACAAGUACAUACAAUGAACUUGUAGUAGGCUCUGAAAUAAAUAUGUGAUUUGUCCCCUCUCCUACUAACAGAAACCAUACAUUGUAAUAACGUAUCAAUCGUAUGUACUGUAUUACUAGCGAGUAAAAACAUAUGCAAAUUUUGCGAGGGUUGAUCAAUUCGCAACAAUAAAAUCGCAAAACUUACUAGUAAAUGCACACGAUCCUUGCCAAAUCGCAAUAGUUGGAUCGCAAAGGGUCAAAUUUUCUGCUGAUUUAGCUCAUUCGCAAAGGUUUUUCACCCGCAAAAUAUUCUAGUAAUACGGUAUACACUCUAACAGCGUAUUAAUUGUUACUUAGUUGUGAUAUAUAGAGUGGAAACUGCAUUUGGUGAACCACAUUUGAAAACAACAAGUAUGUAUUGUAUACACGGCAACUACAUAUAAUGCUCAGAAACCGGAUACUAAGGAAUUUAACCCACCAUGUAUAUACAGGAACUUGGAGGAGAUGUCUGCUAGAGAGACAGGAUUCACAACUGGACACACCCCUCUCCACUGUGGAAUACCCUCAAGAUUCGGACUACAUUCUAACACCAAUAGACAUAAAAUGUACUAAUGCGCAUGAAAAGGUGGAUGAGAUGUGCACAGAAGCCAGAGAGACCCUGAAACAAAUGGAACCAGAAGAGCUAGGAUCGUGGGAGAGAGCCGUAGAUGACAAGAGGUCAUCAUUCGAAGAACUUGUACUUUCAGUAUUCGAAACUAUUUCCCAGGUAAAUUGCAGCAUCUGUGUCAAAAGGGCGAUCUGUACAAGGGGACGUCCAAGGGAGCAGAGGGCUAUGCGCCAGGAUACUUUUCCAGCAAGUCAAAGAACAGAUAAAAUAGCUUUUAUGACUAAAUGUAUAAACUAAUAAGUUGUUUUGAAGCUGUAAGUAAAUGCAGAACUAUUAUUAUAUGGCAGCAAGGUGAA
Molecule: long non-coding RNA, 16297 nt
Organism: Halichondria panicea
Lineage: Eukaryota; Metazoa; Porifera; Demospongiae; Suberitida; Halichondriidae
Exons: 3
Source: RefSeq, a predicted model, not a curated record